Camarhynchus parvulus is the source of this 1242-nucleotide long non-coding RNA. NCBI's taxonomy places the organism in Eukaryota, Metazoa, Chordata, Aves, Passeriformes, Thraupidae. The record is from Ensembl.
GCCUGGAAUUCUGAGUUGGAAUCUCCCAUCAAGUCAGAGGACAGUGAUUUCCAGUCCCUUCCUGACUGGGAUUCAAGCUUGGAUCUGGAUGUGAUGAGCUGGAGAAAUACUGAAGAGGAGGCCAUGGGGAGGCUAGAGGGGAGCAGCCAAGAGGCAGACCAGGAGAUGGAGCUGAGUGAGCCUCUCUGGAAGAAUGACAGUGAAGAUAACCACGAGGCAGAGAAGCCAUGUGAAAACGACAGUCUUCUCCAGUUCCUCUUGGAGGUAACCCAGAUGUUGGAAUCUUGCUGCAUUGGCGGCACAGAGUCAUCUCAGACUCCGUGGGAUUAUUGUGGCUCUGUGGGGAAGCAGAGUGAUGGGGAGGAAAUGAGGUGCCAGGAAAAGACCACGGGAACAGCAGGCUCAGGAGCAGAGGAAAGUCAACUGCGCAUCCUGGCAAAAGAUGAGGAAGAACUCUUCCUGGGAAGAGAGGUGAGUGGUGGUCCUGAAAGACCCUCUGGCCCUGGGUGAGAGAUGAGACAAUGAAGGAAACCAACUCUAGAAGAGAUGGGGGAGGCCCAGGUUCUGAGAGGGGAGACAAAACACACGAGGAACACAGAAAAAAUGUAUGAGGGAAGGGUGGUUUUUAUGUAUGGCUGUGUAUCUUUAUAAACAGGAAGCUUGUUACAGAUGAAACCCUCAGAUGUGAGUUGGAGGAAUUGCUCCUUGGCAGUGUAAAGGUGACUCAUGAGAGCUGGCAGGCUGCUCUCAGGUUUAAGGCAAGGUUGGAAUACUUGCCUGGUUCUAAUUGCUGUGUUUUGCAGCACAGCUUGGCUGGUUUCAGGCCCACAUGGCUGUGCCAGCAAUAACCAUCUGCCCCUGGGGACUGUCAUGUCUUAGAAGCAGGCACUGUCUAGCCUGGGUUUGCAUCAGUCCUGUGUUUGGGGGCUGUGGGCUCCCACCAGCCUGCUGGGUAUUCCUGGGAAAGCAGCACAGCACUGGAGGAACAGGGCUAUUUUUCCACAUUUGUUCUCUUGCAGACUCAGGACACUGGAGACAAAUAACCCCCAGGAUUUCACUGUUCAGCCAGGACAGUGUAUUCCCAGCAGUCACUCUGCUCUCUGCUGCUGUUACUCCCAGCAGCUCCCUCACUGUUCUCCCAGUGCUCACAGCCAAACACACAGUGUUCAGUUUCUUUCUGAGAAGUCUGCUCGUGCUUCAGAUCUGUUGAGGAUUCUGAGGUGCUCCUGCAUGAAAUCCCAC